RNAcentral lists this unclassified non-coding RNA (21 nucleotides) under Mus musculus (house mouse). RNAcentral's name for it is "oocyte_clustered_small_RNA10369". Lineage: Eukaryota; Metazoa; Chordata; Mammalia; Rodentia; Muridae. The record is from RNAcentral.
AGAGGAGACGCCCUGAUGUGA